This 253-nucleotide ribosomal RNA is filed under the name uncultured bacterium. RNAcentral describes it as "partial 16S ribosomal RNA". It matches the Rfam family "Bacterial small subunit ribosomal RNA", at positions 524 to 776 of the family's 1533-position model. The record is from RNAcentral.
UACGGAGGGUGCGAGUGGUAUUCGGCCGUACUGGGCGGAAAGCGCGUGUAGGCGGGGAUGCAAGUCUGAUGUGAAAGCCCCGGGCUUAACCUGGGAAGUGCAUUGGAAACUGCAUUUCUUGAGUGCUGGAGAGGAAGGGGGAAUUCCCGGUGUAGAGGUGAAAUUCGUAGAGAUCGGGAGGAAUACCAGUGGCGAAGGCGACCUUCUGGACGGCAACUGACGCUGAGACGCGACAGCCUGUGGAGCAAACAGG